Dreissena polymorpha is the source of this 2986-nucleotide long non-coding RNA. RefSeq lists it as uncharacterized. The transcript has 3 exons. NCBI's taxonomy places the organism in Eukaryota, Metazoa, Mollusca, Bivalvia, Myida, Dreissenidae. The record is from RefSeq and is a predicted model, not a curated record.
CGUUUUGGAUAUUGGGAAAUCGAAAGUGGAUUCAUACGAAAAUGGCGGUCAGGUUGCAAACAUAGCAACAAAAAGGUUCAGACGUUGUUUACGAGGUGUGCUGUUCUAUCUGCGAAGAUGAUUGCAUAUAAACAGAAGGACGGUUUAAUUGUCAAACAUGUUCAACAUAUUUCUGCGACAGUUGUGUUAACGCAUAAUAAGUUCCUCAAGGAACAUGUAGUAAGUGAGGAAGGGGACGGUGACAAUUGGCCUGUAACUUAAACCGUGGAUGAUGGACUUGAGUUAUGUGAGGAACACUUAACUGAGAAACUGACGAUGUUCUGUGAAGAUGAUGAAAAGCUACUCUGUCACGUCUGUCUGCUCCGUAAUCACAAGCAAUGUAGUCAGGUAGUUCUAUUGAGUGACAAGGUACAAUCUACCACACGACCCAUGGACGUAGCUCAAAUGAAGACAAGUAUUGAAUCAGCAAUGUAUCGUUUAGAGGAUAUCGUGAAAAUAGGAGAACAAAAUAUUAUAUCUCUCCAAACGUCAUACGAAAAUGUUUUGAAAGAAAUAGUUGAUGUUCGUCGACGAAUAAACGACAAUUUAGAGCGACUGCAACACAUUAGAAAAAGAAAAUUGGAAGAGUUGCAUUCACAAUUUAAAAUGAUUUGAAAAAUAAAAGAAAACGCUGUUGUGAAUGUAUUGCCAUGUUAAAGGGGUUUAACAUACACGAGACGUUUCCUGAACGAUCGUUUAUAAUGUACAGAAAAUGUUUAGAAAAAGCCGCAUCGACAGAUUUUUUUCUUCAAAAAGUAACUACAAAUGCUGCCAUAGAAUUUCACCUCAACAAAGAUUUAGAGCAGUUGAUUACAUCUUGUACAGAGUUCGGAAGCAUAACAAAUCUCGAAGUUGUGUCACAUCAUUUCGUUGACUCUAACAAGAUUGUAAGCGUUACGGGCAGAUCACGAUACAAAGUGCGAACAUCGACUGAUUACAACGACUGUUACAUAAGGGGUAUAUGCUUUUUGUCCGAUGGUAAGUUCAUCAUGGCAGACCACAAAAAUAAGUGCGUGAAACUUCUUGAUAAGACAUACAAUUGUAUAAUGCAAACAGAACUAGUUGGUUACCCGUUGUCAAUGUGUACCAUAUCCACCAACGAGGUGGCGUUGACUGUUGGUUACCUGCGAUCCAUUAACGAGAAUUACUUCUUAUGAGUCGAUAAAGGGAAUAUUGAAAUGUUUAAGAGACUAAAACUUAAACAUGAUUGUAACGGUAUUGCGAUUCACCAGGAGGACCUUUUUGUAACGUCCGGUUCUUCAGUGGAUCAAUACACCUUGGAUGGGCAGAAAGUUAAUACGUUAUAUGAGGAUACAUGGGGAGCAAAGAAUGUUGUAGGUGUUGGGGUGAGCCCUGACGGAAAGAAGGUAUAUGUGACGGAAAGGUUCAAUGGCAUUCUCCGCACACUAUCAAGGGAUGGAGCAGUCACAGCCAACCUCCAGGAUCCUGCAUUUAAAACGUCUAAUUUCAUAGAUAACAUACUCGUGACAGCCAACGGACAGGUGUUUGUCUUAGGUGACGAUAUUGUAAGUCAAGUUGACACGGAGGGCAAGAAAGUUCUCAAAACCAUAAAGCUUGAUAUAUCCCGCCUUGGAUCAAUCUACGUCAAUGACGACACAAGCCAGAUGAUUGUUGGAUACUCUGGAAACGACGUCAUUGAGUUGACAAUAAAUAUAUCCUGACUUCUUCACAGUUAUUUUACAGCGUACGAACUUGUUUCAAGCAUUAAAGUGAUUUGUAUUAUGAGUAUCGAUAUAUUUUCUGCGUUAGUGUGACAUGUAUUCGCUAUUCAAACUAAUCAUUUUGUUUACAGUUGGACUAACUUUGCACCUCUUUAUUUAAUUAAGUUAUCAUGUUCUCAACCUAUAAACUUGUUUGGUAUUGUUACUUGUUUCUUCUUAACUCUUUGCUGUUUUGCGUGUGUGUCUAAAGUAAACAAACUCUUUCUUUGUUAACCAUUAUACUCAACAUUUCGUAUUCGCACGUAUUCUUUCUUUUUAACAUUGAAUAGUUUUUUACUUGUGUAUUUCCACAAUGCCAUUAUUAUUGAUGUACACAUCUGUUAACACAUGUAUUGUAUUUCGUCAAUUGCAUUGAGUUUACGUGUGUGCAAAUGUGUUCAGAUUUGUUUCAGGCAAUAUAGUUUUCUAUUUUUUAGUCUUACUGUGUUUUCAUUAUUUACCUUCAUUUAUUAGUUCUAAUUAGAAGUAUAGCAGUUAAGUACUUAUUGUUACGACUGAAGAUGAUGUGCAUGCAUGUUUGCACGUGUUCCCUGAUUUAAACAAAUUAACUUAUACUCCACCAUCAAACAGACCAUUAAGUCUCCAAUCAUCUCUUCUAUACAUUGCUAAUAUUUUGCUGCUUUUUCCACAAUACAAGUAUUAUAGUUGUUUUAGUAUUUUGCCCAAAUCAUCUUUUUAUGUGUGUGCUUAUCUAUUCCGACAUAAUUGUGUCCAAUUCAUCUCUUUAACGUUCUGCUUAUUUGGUCUAAGUUAAACAAUAAAUCGUGUUUCCAUUAUAUACACUAUUUUGUGAUUUUUAAUUGGAAGUAAUGAAUUCAAGUGCGUUAUUUUAAUAAUCAGGGCAUUGUGCAUGAGCGCCUUGCGUAUUGUCCAUAAUAUGCCCACAUCGGUGUGUUUGAUUGGAACAUAAUGGGCUUUUAAAUUGAGACUUAUAUGAGGUAACUAAAUUGGGCCUCAUGUGGGUUUUAUAAUCUUUAGUUCAACUUGCUUGAAAAAUCAAAAUCUGUGAGAACGUUCAAAAACAAAAUUCACUCAAUGCAGAUGCUGAGAAAGAAAACUGGUUUUGGUACAAAUAAUUGUUUUUUGCAAGCCAUACAUAUUGUAUUAGUUGGAAUCAAUGUAAAUAUGCAUUCUUACAUUUAAGAAAAAACGAUUGUGUUGUUUGUAGAAUGUACGGUGCAAAACAUGUGAAACUUUACAAUGUC